This 222-nucleotide unclassified non-coding RNA is filed under the name Hevea brasiliensis (rubber tree). The record is from RNAcentral. Lineage: Eukaryota; Viridiplantae; Streptophyta; Magnoliopsida; Malpighiales; Euphorbiaceae.
GGGAAUUGCCAAAUUAACAGUGGAAAAGCUACCACAACCGAUACAAUCUCCGCGAACCCAAUCCAUGGGAGCAAGAAGCAGAAGCAGAAGCAGAAAAGAUUAAAAUCGAAAGGAAUUACAAGUCGAUGGUUUCAAAACAGAGGAUUUGAGAGCUGUUCUCCUUGUUGGGUUUGGUUUUGGUUCCUUUGAGGGAAAGGAAAGUGAGAACAGAGGUCCCAACUC